AAUUUGAAAUUAACACCGUAGACAGCGGGGGCCUGGGGCUUAAUCAUCCCGCCGAGGUACAAUAUAAAGAAUAUUGACCUUGUCUCGUGUCUGCGAGGCAGGGUUUGCUUUUU
RNAcentral lists this small RNA (113 nucleotides) under Hornefia butyriciproducens. Its description in RNAcentral is "Ribosomal protein L10 leader". It matches the Rfam family "Ribosomal protein L10 leader". From Rfam's summary of the family: This family is a putative r-protein leader autoregulatory structure found in B. subtilis and other low-GC Gram-positive bacteria. The record is from RNAcentral. Lineage: Bacteria; Bacillati; Bacillota; Clostridia; Peptostreptococcales; Anaerovoracaceae.